CCGCGGUAAUACGGAGGGUGCAAGCGUUAAUCGGAAUUACUGGGCGUAAAGCGCACGCAGGCGGUCUGUCAAGUCGGAUGUGAAAUCCCCGGGCUCAACCUGGGAACUGCAUUCGAAACUGGCAGGCUUGAGUCUUGUAGAGGGGGGUAGAAUUCCAGGUGUAGCGGUGAAAUGCGUAGAGAUCUGGAGGAAUACCGGUGGCGAAGGCGGCCCCCUGGACAAAGACUGACGCUCAGGUGCGAAAGCGUGGGGAGCAAACAGGAUUAGAUACCCUGGUAGUCCACGCCGUAAACGAUGUCUACUUGGAGGUUGUGCCCUUGAGGCGUGGCUUCCGGAGCUAACGCGUUAAGUAGACCGCCUGGGGAGUACGGCCGCAAGGUUAAAACUCAAAUGAAUUGACGGGGGCCCGCACAAGCGGUGGAGCAUGUGGUUUAAUUCGAUGCAACGCGAAGAACCUUACCUGGUCUUGACAUCCACAGAACUUUCCAGAGAUGGAUUGGUGCCUUCGGGAACUGUGAGACAGGUGCUGCAUGGCUGUCGUCAGCUCGUGUUGUGAAAUGUUGGGUUAAGUCCCGCAACGAGCGCAACCCUUAUCCUUUGUUGCCAGCGGUCCGGCCGGGAACUCAAAGGAGACUGCCAGUGAUAAACUGGAGGAAGGUGGGGAUGACGUCAAGUCAUCAUGGCCCUUACGACCAGGGCUACACACGUGCUACAAUGGCGCAUACAAAGAGAAGCGACCUCGCGAGAGCAAGCGGACCUCAUAAAGUGCGUCGUAGUCCGGAUUGGAGUCUGCAACUCGACUCCAUGAAGUCGGAAUCGCUAGUAAUCGUGGAUCAGAAUGCCACGGUGAAUACGUUCCCGGGCCUUGUACACACCGCCCGUCACACCAUGGGAGUGGGUUGCAAAAGAAGUAGGUAGCUUAACCUUCGGGAGGGCGCUUACCACUUUGUGAUUCAUGACUGGGGUGAAGUCGUAACAAGGUAACCGUAGGGGAACCUGC
This 1000-nucleotide ribosomal RNA is filed under the name Salmonella enterica. RNAcentral describes it as "bacterial SSU rRNA". It matches the Rfam family "Bacterial small subunit ribosomal RNA", at positions 515 to 1515 of the family's 1533-position model. Lineage: Bacteria; Pseudomonadati; Pseudomonadota; Gammaproteobacteria; Enterobacterales; Enterobacteriaceae. The record is from RNAcentral.